GAUGAACGCUGGCGGCGUGCCUAACACAUGCAAGUCGAACGAAGCACCUUACCUGAUUCUUCGGAUGAAAGUUUGGUGACUGAGUGGCGGACGGGUGAGUAACGCGUGGGUAACCUGCCCUGUACAGGGGGAUAACAGCUGGAAACGGCUGCUAAUACCGCAUAAGCACACGAGGAGACAUCUCCUUGUGUGAAAAACUCCGGUGGUACAGGAUGGGCCCGCGUCUGAUUAGCUGGUUGGCAGGGUAACGGCCUACCAAGGCAACGAUCAGUAGCCGGUCUGAGAGGAUGAACGGCCACAUUGGAACUGAGACACGGUCCAAACUCCUACGGGAGGCAGCAGUGGGGAAUAUUGCACAAUGGGGGAAACCCUGAUGCAGCAACGCCGCGUGAGUGAAGAAGUAUUUCGGUAUGUAAAGCUCUAUCAGCAGGGAAGAUAAUGACGGUACCUGACUAAGAAGCUCCGGCUAAAUACGUG
RNAcentral lists this ribosomal RNA (477 nucleotides) under uncultured bacterium. RNAcentral's name for it is "partial 16S ribosomal RNA". It matches the Rfam family "Bacterial small subunit ribosomal RNA", at positions 28 to 507 of the family's 1533-position model. The record is from RNAcentral.